Molecule: long non-coding RNA, 734 nt
Organism: Triticum aestivum (bread wheat)
Lineage: Eukaryota; Viridiplantae; Streptophyta; Magnoliopsida; Poales; Poaceae
Exons: 2
Source: RefSeq, a predicted model, not a curated record
UUUGGUUGACUGUCGUUGUUACUUAUCCGAUCUGAAUCUAAAGGUUCCAUGUUUCUGACAAAACAAUGGCUGAUUUGCUAGCUGUAGAGCGCAAGCUAAAUGAUACAGGCUCUGCUGUGAAAACCAACAGGUCUCUUCUUUUACAAGCUUUUGCUACAGUUGAAUUACUCAAUAUGUGUGUGUGUUUUAUAUCAUCUGGUGAUCAAGUUUUAAUGUAUCUUGAUGAAUGUAGACCUUUGUAACAUAUUUGCACCUUUGGAGUAACACAUGAUGUCCUUUAUCAGUAUGGCUGAUCCUUCGCCCUUAUUUCCUCUACUUGUUGAUAUGUGUCUGCUGGAACAAGCUGGUUCAAUGGUGCCUUCAGCAAAGUCGCCGAGGCUGGUCAUGUUGCCGGCUCAAGAACAACAGAAAAGUUCCAGAUAGUUGUGUCAAAUAUAUCAGCCAAAGGACCUGCUGUCGUUGCUUGAGCUUGUUGAGUUUGUUUUGGGAGCUCCUCUUCCUGGGGAAAAUCUGUUGGAAACCUUGAGCAAGCAUCUAAUGUUGGCUGUGUCAUCAAGCUUUGGCUUGUAACUGUGUAUUUCUCUCCUUCUCAUCUUCUUCUUUGAGGAGGUUUAUUUUCAGGGAGUCUUGACAGAUUUGGUAGAUGAUCUAAAUUUUCUUUAGAAUUUUAGAACCACUAUCCUUUUUAGUGUCGGUGUUCAAUUGAUUAUAGAUGAUAGUGACAUUUUGGACCA